AACGUAGGUUCCGAGCGUUAUCCGGAUUUACUGGGCGUAAAGCGCGUUCAGGCGGUUUGGCAAGUCGGGCAUGAAAUCUCUCGGCUCAACCGGGAGAGGUUGUCCGAUACUGCUGGACUUGAGGGCAGUAGAGGGUGGUGGAAUUCCGGGUGUAGUGGUGAAAUGCGUAGAUAUCCGGAGGAACACCAGUGGCGAAGGCAGCUCUCUGGGACGGUACUGACACUGAGACGCGAAAGCGUGGGGAGCGAACAGG
Molecule: ribosomal RNA, 253 nt
Filed under: uncultured bacterium
Lineage: Bacteria
Description: partial 16S ribosomal RNA
Rfam family: Bacterial small subunit ribosomal RNA
Source: RNAcentral